Molecule: long non-coding RNA, 1774 nt
Organism: Oreochromis niloticus (Nile tilapia)
Lineage: Eukaryota; Metazoa; Chordata; Actinopteri; Cichliformes; Cichlidae
Exons: 2
Source: RefSeq, a predicted model, not a curated record
GUUGACCCAGGGGUGAGAUCUAAAACCUGCAGGACACUGGCACUCGAGGAGUUGCCUGCCCCUGGUCUAGAUUAAUGUUAUUCAUGAGAAUUCAUUCAGGAAAUCCUUGCAGAAUUUGAGUGUAUCUUUGUCCUGUCUUCCUCCCCUGGCAGCGCUGUCUGAGAGCAGAAAAAAGCUCUAAACAGGCAGGAUCGCCGAUGGCAAGGACCCACCCCAUCCAAGAUCUAACCCGUACAACACGUGGCACGUAUUUCAACCACUUCUACAGCCCUUCUGUUUCGAAGGAUUCCAAGGUGGAUCACAUCGAUGCAGUUCCUCCGGUACCAACACCAGAGGCGGUGGGAGUCCUCCAAAUCGCUGGCAACGCAGGGGAGUAUCAGCAGUGAGUUACGGAUAUUAACCUCCUAGGACCUGGCGUCCACAUAUGUGGACAUCACAUUUUGGGUUGUCUAGACCAAAAUACUAAAUUGUGCUCUACAAGGGCCUGAUAUCCACUUACGAGGACAUUAUACAGUCACUGUUCUAUCAAAAUUUGAAAUGAAAGUCCUUAUAUGUAGAUCUCAUAUUUCUCAGAAACAAAAAUCACGUAAAAAAUAAUCUGGUAAUUCUUUGUUUUUACAUUCAUCAGGUUCCAAUCAGCCCAAAUAGCAAAGAGAAAUUAAAAAUGCAUGCCAUGAAAGAGUUCAGGUCUUAGGAGGUUAAGAAGCAUCUGUUGCUUAUACACCAACAGGGAGUGGGUUUUUAAAGAUUGUAGGACACCACUAUGAACACAAUACAUAAACGUUUCAGAACCGAGAGAUGGCACUAUUUUGCACUUUUAAAUAUUCCCCAUUACUUCUGGAAAAGCUAGCUUGUCAUUUUUCAUAUUCCCCCUGCUCAACCUGAUGUUUGUCCAUCUUGAUGUGAUCAGUGACUUGUGGUACAUUUUGACAUUUGAUUUUCACCCAGGUGUUAUCCAUGUACCCAAGCCAAUGCUUUUUUGGUUUUCUAGAAUAGGACAACAGAGCCCUGUUUUCCAUCGAGAAGCUGAACAGGUAUAUCUAAUAAAGUGGCUAUUGAGUUUAUAUCAGGCUAAAACCAGCACUAGUUUACAAACAGUGGACAAACAUUCUGUGUCCCCAAACAAAGACAGGUCCAGCCAAGUGAGUGCGUGAAGUUUACAAACUGUUUUCCUCUUUCACAGUCUUUUACAGCCUCGAUUUCUUUCCUUGUAACUUGUCCCUCCCCUCUCCUCGAGGUUUGGAAGGUGCAAAGAAGAUAUAAGAAACAGGCAGAGGUAACAGGAAUUAAUGCCAUCCUUUUAAUUAUGUCAAAAGAUUAUUGGCACAGCUGCAUUAAAACUAUUGCAUUGUUUCUCUGCAUUUCAUGUUCUUUGGCAUAACUGAACUGAUGAUAUGCUUUAUUUUAAGGGCAACUUUUAAUUAAAUUCUCACUGUAGUACGUGACAAGAGAUUAUGUUUUUGAUCAUUUCUCUCACACACAAAAUGAAGGACAAAGUUUAAAGGCAGUUGAUCAUCUUAACAACCAAAACAACUUAUAGAUAUGACAAAGUAGCUGUUUGCAUAGUUCUCCUGAAUUCAAGCUGUAAGACUAUUUUAUAUAUUUAAAGUUAUUCUGCAAAGGAUACGCCCUGUGCAUCCUCGCUUCCUCCUCUGUCCACAUGAUGCUUGUAGGUAUUGAGGCACCAUUCAACAUGUUACACAGAAAUUCAUUUCCAGGUCAGAAAGAAGGCAAGACAGAUGAUGAGGUGCAAACCACAAGAAACUAAAAAAAA